Molecule: transfer RNA, 69 nt
Filed under: Marmota monax (woodchuck)
Lineage: Eukaryota; Metazoa; Chordata; Mammalia; Rodentia; Sciuridae
Description: tRNA.Ala
Source: RNAcentral
UGUAGGUAGCUCAGUGGUAGAGUAUUGCUUAGCAUGCAAAGGCCCUAGAUUCAAUUCCCAGCACCAAAA